CAACUCACAGCAGAGAACUAUUUCUUCCCCUACUGCUCUUUCACAAAGGAAACUGCAUGGUAAAUGUAACUGAGAUAUUUGGCUAGGAUAGAUCCUGAGAAAAGAGAGGCCCAGUUAGAAGUGGAAUAGACAAAGUCUGUCAAUGAAGGUUCACCUCUCUUUUAACAUAAAAGAUCCUUUUAGAUACUCUUAGGAAUCAGAUAAAACAUGUGCAGAAUUUCUGCCAUGCAAACAGAGACUACUGAAAUUUUCAGGCUGACCAAUUGAUACUGACCUGGGCCCCAAGUAAGUAGAAUAAAAAGAUGUCUUUAUCAGAAAGAUAUGUGUUUGCCUGUUUUUACUAGACUAUAUAUAUACAUAUUUACAAAUGAGUAUUUUUUUAAUGUGUUUUCAUUAUUCUCAGUAACAGCAUCAUGGUUAAGGGCUCUUUGCUGACUUCUUGCCCUAGGCAUGUGUAUCUUUUUAUUCUUCUGAAUUUCCUUCAUGGCAGGAUCAUUCAUUACACAAUCUUGGGUCCAUGACAUUUAUAUUUACAGACGACAUUACAGGUUUAAAUCUGGAUUUCUGAGGAAUUUUUAACUCCUGCAUUCAGACCAGGUUUAGCAAGGUACAAAUAUAUAUAUGAGGCUUCCAACAAGAAAAGUGUGACUGAUUCCUUGAAGACUGAUGCUAGAACUGAGAAAAUAGACCUCUUUAAGUGUUACUGGUAAUCCUGCCUCCUAAAAUAUUAU
This 731-nucleotide long non-coding RNA is filed under the name Bos taurus (domestic cattle). RNAcentral's name for it is "long non-coding RNA NONBTAT018325". Lineage: Eukaryota; Metazoa; Chordata; Mammalia; Artiodactyla; Bovidae. The record is from RNAcentral.